CGUCAACCGAGGCCCUCGCCCCCCGUUGGCGAUCUCCGCAGGGAGGCAACAAUGGCAACACACACAAAAAAGAGGCGGCCCGACAGAUCAUCCCAACGAGGACAAUGCGCCUCUGACAGGCCACACGGACCAUCGUCGAUUUCCGCGCAGCCGGGUUUGCGGCGAGCCGAAUGAUUCUUGCUCAACCAAGGACCGACCAAUUGCGGCGGCGGCAGAAAAAAAAAUAAAAUCCGCUCCCUCGAUCCCGAGAGACGGGCGCGAAAACACCAUGCUUUUUUUUCU
RNAcentral lists this long non-coding RNA (282 nucleotides) under Pandoravirus dulcis. Its description in RNAcentral is "putative ncRNA". The record is from RNAcentral.